Molecule: microRNA precursor, 192 nt
Filed under: Oryza brachyantha (malo sina)
Lineage: Eukaryota; Viridiplantae; Streptophyta; Magnoliopsida; Poales; Poaceae
Description: MIR812 microRNA precursor family
Rfam family: MIR812 microRNA precursor family
Source: Rfam by way of RNAcentral
AAUAAACCAAUUUUUCACUUUUUACAUACAAUUUUUGACUAAACGUCUUAUUCAAUUUUUUUUGUGAUUGAUAUUUUUGUUUUUAUUAGAUGAUAAAUCAUGAAUAAUACUUUACGUGACUAAUUUUUUUCUAAUUUCUUGAAAACUUUUUAAAUAAGACGGAUGGUCAAACGUUAGACACGAGAAUUGGCU